UCGAGAAUCUUUCACAAUGGGGGCAACCCUGAUGGAGCGACGCCGCGUGGAGGAUAAGGUCUUCGGAUUGUAAACUCCUGUCAUGUGUGAACAAGGUUGUCGUGUUAAUAGCAUGGCAAAUUGAUGGUAACACAAGAGGAAGAGACGGCUAACUCUGUGCCAGCAGCCGCGGUAAUACAGAGGUCUCAAGCGUUGUUCGGAAUCACUGGGCGUAAAGGGUGCGUAGGUGGGUGUUCAAGUCUGCUGUUA
This 249-nucleotide ribosomal RNA is filed under the name uncultured Prosthecobacter sp. RNAcentral's name for it is "partial 16S ribosomal RNA". It matches the Rfam family "Bacterial small subunit ribosomal RNA", at positions 355 to 597 of the family's 1533-position model. The record is from RNAcentral. Lineage: Bacteria; Pseudomonadati; Verrucomicrobiota; Verrucomicrobiia; Verrucomicrobiales; Verrucomicrobiaceae.